Small nuclear RNA from Phycodurus eques (leafy seadragon), 168 nucleotides. RefSeq annotates it as U1 spliceosomal RNA. Lineage: Eukaryota; Metazoa; Chordata; Actinopteri; Syngnathiformes; Syngnathidae. The record is from RefSeq and is a predicted model, not a curated record. The transcript has a single exon.
AUACUGACCUGACAGGGCAGACACCAUGAUCAAGAAGGUGGUUCACCCAGGGAUGAGGCCCAGCCAUUCGCAUGCCGGUUGUGCUGACCUCUGCGAAUUCCCCAAAUGUGGGGAUCUUCGACUGCAUAAUUUCUGGUAGUGGGGGUACUAUGUUCGUGUUCUCCCCUG